Schistocerca serialis cubense is the source of this 108-nucleotide small nuclear RNA. NCBI's taxonomy places the organism in Eukaryota, Metazoa, Arthropoda, Insecta, Orthoptera, Acrididae. The record is from RefSeq and is a predicted model, not a curated record.
GUACUCGCCUCGGCGGUACAAAUACUAAAAUUUGGAACCAUACAGAGAAAAUUAGCGUGGCCACUGCGCGCGGUUGACACGUAAAAUAGUGAAGCGAUUCAAAUUUUU